This 497-nucleotide ribosomal RNA is filed under the name uncultured bacterium. RNAcentral's name for it is "partial 16S ribosomal RNA". It matches the Rfam family "Bacterial small subunit ribosomal RNA", at positions 28 to 507 of the family's 1533-position model. The record is from RNAcentral.
GAUGAACGCUGGCGGCGUGCCUAAUACAUGCAAGUCGAGCGAACGGACGAGAAGCUUGCUUCUCUGAUGUUAGCGGCGGACGGGUGAGUAACACGUGGAUAACCUACCUAUAAGACUGGGAUAACUUCGGGAAACCGGAGCUAAUACCGGAUAAUAUUUUGAACCGCAUGGUUCAAAAGUGAAAGACGGUCUUGCUGUCACUUAUAGAUGGAUCCGCGCUGCAUUAGCUAGUUGGUAAGGUAACGGCUUACCAAGGCAACGAUGCAUAGCCGACCUGAGAGGGUGAUCGGCCACACUGGAACUGAGACACGGUCCAGACUCCUACGGGAGGCAGCAGUAGGGAAUCUUCCGCAAUGGGCGAAAGCCUGACGGAGCAACGCCGCGUGAGUGAUGAAGGUCUUCGGAUCGUAAAACUCUGUUAUUAGGGAAGAACAAAUGUGUAAGUAACUGUGCACGUCUUGACGGUACCUAAUCAGAAAGCCACGGCUAACUACGUG